AGUGAACGUUGGCGGCGUGGAUUAGGCAUGCAAGUCGAGCGAGAACCGUAGCAAUACGGGGACAGCGGCGAAGGGACAGUAAUGUGUAGGUACCUACCUCCGGGUUCGGGGUAGCUGCGGGAAACUGCAGGUAAUACCGAAUAACGUCUCCGGACCAAAGGUGUGAUUCCACCUGGAGAGGGGCCUGCAUCCUAUUAGCUUGUUGGCGGGGUAACGGCCCACCAAGGCGACGAUGGGUAGCGGGUGUGAGAGCACGACCCGCGUCAUUGGGACUGAGACACUGCCCAGACACCUACGGGUGGCUGCAGUCGAGGAUCUUCGGCAAUGGGCGCAAGCCUGACCGAGCGACACCGCGUGCGGGAUGAAGGCCUUCGGGUUGUAAACCGCUGUCGUAGAGGAGGAAGUGCAGGGGGGUUCUCCCCUCUGUUUGACCUAUUCUAGGAGGAAGGACGGGCUAAGUUCGUGCCAGCCGCCGCGGUAA
Molecule: ribosomal RNA, 481 nt
Filed under: uncultured bacterium
Lineage: Bacteria
Description: partial 16S ribosomal RNA
Rfam family: Bacterial small subunit ribosomal RNA
Source: RNAcentral